This 352-nucleotide RNase P RNA is filed under the name Desulfocapsa sulfexigens. RNAcentral's name for it is "RNase P RNA component class A". It matches the Rfam family "Bacterial RNase P class A". Rfam says of the family: Ribonuclease P (RNase P) is a ubiquitous endoribonuclease, found in archaea, bacteria and eukarya as well as chloroplasts and mitochondria. Lineage: Bacteria; Pseudomonadati; Thermodesulfobacteriota; Desulfobulbia; Desulfobulbales; Desulfocapsaceae. The record is from RNAcentral.
UGGAGUGGGUGCAUGGUCGCUCAGUUUAUUAAGAGCUGAGAGGAAAGUCCGAACUCCUCAGGGCAGGAUGGUUCGUAACGCGAACGCCGGGUGACCGGCGGAAAGUGCCACAGAAAAGAUACCGCCGCAUCUUCGGAUUCGGUAAGGGUGAAAUGGCGAGGUAAAAGCUCACCGCCUGUAUGGUGACAUGCAGGGCAGGGUAAACCCCAUCCGGAGCAAGACCAAAUAGGAAGACGUCCCACAGGCUGCCCGCCUGAAGUCUUCGGGUAGGUUGCAAGAGGUGCCGGGUGACCGGUAUCCCAGUGAAAUGACCAUGAUUGUACAGAAUUCGGCUUACAGCCCACUUCAUUUU